Molecule: small nuclear RNA, 143 nt
Organism: Zalophus californianus (California sea lion)
Lineage: Eukaryota; Metazoa; Chordata; Mammalia; Carnivora; Otariidae
Gene: U4
Rfam family: U4 spliceosomal RNA
About the family: U4 small nuclear RNA (U4 snRNA) is a component of the major U2-dependent spliceosome. The structure of U4 snRNA from yeast and human has been reported.
Source: Ensembl
AGCUUUGUGCAGUGGCAGUAUCGUAGCCAAUGAGGUUUAUCUGAGGCGUGAUUAUUGCUAAUUAAUUCCUUGGGUGAUGCAUAUCAUUUUAAUUUGCCAAACCAGAAAAAUGUUGAAAGCCUUCUGAACUCUUCUCAUGUUGG